CCUACGGGAGGCAGCAGUGGGGAAUAUUGCACAAUGGGGGAAACCCUGAUGCAGCGACGCCGCGUGAGGGAAGAAGGAUCUCGGUAUGUUAAGCUCUAUCAGUAGGGAAGAAAAUGACGGUACCUGACUAAGAAGCACCGUCUAACUACGUGCCAGAAGCCGCGGUAAUACGUAGGGGGCAAGCGUUAUCCGGAUUUACUGGGUUUAAAGGGAGCGUAGGCGGCUAGUUAAGUCAGAAGUGAAAGCCCAGGGCGCAACCUGGGGACUGCUUUUGAAACUGAGUAGCUAGAGUGCAGGAGAGGUAAGCGGAAUUCCUGGUGUAGCGGUGAAAUGCGUAGAUAUUAGGAGGAACACCAGUGGCGAAGGCGGCUUACUGGACUGUAACUGACGUUGAGGCUCGAAAGCGUGGGGAGCAAACAGGAUUAGAUACCCCAGUAGUC
Molecule: ribosomal RNA, 440 nt
Filed under: uncultured bacterium
Lineage: Bacteria
Description: partial 16S ribosomal RNA
Rfam family: Bacterial small subunit ribosomal RNA
Source: RNAcentral